CCUACGGGAGGCAGCAGUGAGGAAUAUUGGUCAAUGGGCGAGAGCCUGAACCAGCCAAGUCGCGUGAGGGAGUACUGCCCUAUGGGUUGUAAACCUCUUUUGUCGGGGAGCAAAAGCCGGACGUGUCCGGCUGUGAGAGUACCGGAAGAAAACGCAUCGGCUAACUCCGUGCCAGCAGCCGCGGUAAUAGGGAGGAUGCGAGCGUUAUCCGGAUUUAUUGGGGUUAAAGGGUGCGCAGGCGGAUUUUUAAGUCAGCGGUCAAAUCGUGGGGCUCAACCCCAUCCAGCCGUUGAAACUGGGGAUCUAGAGUGUGCGAGAGGUAUGCGGAAUGCGUGGUGUAGCGGUGAAAUGCAUAGAUAUCACGCAGAACCCCGAUUGCGAAGGCAGCAUACCGGUGCACAACUGACGCUCAGGCACGAAAGCGUGGGUAUCGAACAGGAUUAGAUACCCGGGUAGUC
RNAcentral lists this ribosomal RNA (458 nucleotides) under uncultured bacterium. Its description in RNAcentral is "partial 16S ribosomal RNA". It matches the Rfam family "Bacterial small subunit ribosomal RNA", at positions 338 to 795 of the family's 1533-position model. The record is from RNAcentral.